This 253-nucleotide ribosomal RNA is filed under the name uncultured bacterium. Its description in RNAcentral is "partial 16S ribosomal RNA". It matches the Rfam family "Bacterial small subunit ribosomal RNA", at positions 524 to 776 of the family's 1533-position model. The record is from RNAcentral.
UACGAAGGGGGCUAGCGUUGCUCGGAUUGACUGGGCGUAAAGGGCGCGUAGGCGGUUCGUACAGUCAGACGUGAAAUUCCUGGGCUCAACCUGGGGGCUGCGUUUGAUACGUGCGGACUUGAGUGCGGAAGAGGGUCGUAGAAUUCCCAGUGUAGAGGUGAAAUUCGUAGAUAUUGGGAAGAACACCGGUGGCGAAGGCGGCGACCUGGUCCGAUACUGACGCUGAGGCGCGAAAGCGUGGGGAGCAAACAGG